Ixodes scapularis (black-legged tick) is the source of this 1289-nucleotide long non-coding RNA. RefSeq lists it as uncharacterized. Lineage: Eukaryota; Metazoa; Arthropoda; Arachnida; Ixodida; Ixodidae. The transcript is spliced from 4 exons. The record is from RefSeq and is a predicted model, not a curated record.
GUUUACGCACACUGUUGACAAGCCAAGACGCCAAGAGUGCAAGUAGCUCAAGCCAAGCAAGGUCGAAGCCAGGUUGACCACGUGACCGUAUGUCAACGGACCGUCAAGGUCUGUUUCAUCGGACCGCUCUGCCAAUCUCUCGGCGUGGAGGAAACGUAAACAAAGGAAAUGUACUCUCUUGUCCAUUUUUUGGCGGAAAAUGAUGUCGCAGUUGUCCCUACCUGUUGGGUGUGCAAUGGCUGCACGGCAUGGCCACCCUACAAAUUAAAUCGGUUGAUGAUGGCAAUUAGAGAGCGUGAAGAGCCCUCGACUGACUGGGCCACAUUCUCCUGUCAGGUGAUGGCAUCAUGUUGUAAGUAUAGCAGGGUGUCUAGCAACCGGGAAAAAUCAGGGAUAUUGUCAAAAAUCAAGCCCAGUCAUGGAAAAUGAGCCGGAAAUGCCAUUGAGUGCCCUGAGCAAAGAGUUGAGAACCUUGGGGCAGAGAAAUAGGCAAUAAAUUCUGCUUAGAGCGGAGCGCGGACUCUGCUCACCCAAUGUAGAGUGUGCUAGAGCACUGCACGAGCCAGAAUUUCUAGACCCGGCCCGGUAGAGGCACGGCCCGGGUUUGGCCCGAGCCUAAUAGAAUAUUUAAUUUCCGGGCCCGGCCAGACUUCGCCUUGAAGAGACACGGCUCGGGCCGGGCCCGGACCCGACAGAAUUUUAGACAGAAGCUUGAGCCCAGCACGAGCCCGACAGAAUUUUUGUUUUCUUUAAUAUAAACCUGAGCUGGCCCAAUCCUCAUAGAUUAUAUACAUGAGCCCGAAAAAGUUGGCAGGCUUUAACCUUAAAGCUGUCUAACCAUAAAGCGAGCAUAUUUGAUUUAAUGAACAAAAGUUUAGGGUGAAAACAAGCUUGUGGUGGUUAAACAUUUAACUGGUGUGCUCGGCUUUCUUGUUUCAGUGACAUAUGAAGAUGCAAAGUACAAAGAAAAAAAAUUCGGAAGCGACGUCCAACCUAACAUUGAAUAAUGAAGAGCGGGAGAAGAGAAAAAGGAAGAGACUGCAGUAUACUCUUUCUUCAUUUGAGGAUGAGGACUUCUAUGACCAAGAUGAACGACGUAACACUCAGCCAGCCCCUCAACUUCCAGAACGUGCACCAGAGCCCAAGCAAAAACGCACACGUGAGCUGUGCGCACCUGCUUUAAACAGAAGGCAGAAAACAAUGAGCCAGCCAUCAUCGUGCAGGAAGCCGACGCCAAAUGGGCUGCUGCUGAAUCGGUCAGGCAUGCACCAGCUAGGAUCAAGAAAAUG